This 253-nucleotide ribosomal RNA is filed under the name uncultured bacterium. RNAcentral describes it as "partial 16S ribosomal RNA". It matches the Rfam family "Bacterial small subunit ribosomal RNA", at positions 524 to 776 of the family's 1533-position model. The record is from RNAcentral.
UACGUAGGGGGCAAGCGUUGUUCGGAAUUACUGGGCGUAAAGGGCGCGUAGGCGGCAUGGCAAGUCGGGAGUGAAAGGCCUGGGCUCAACCGAGGAACUGCUUUCGAGACUGCCAAGCUAGAGUGCGGAAGGGGCAUCUGGAAUUCCCAGUGUAGCGGUGAAAUGCGUAGAUACUGGGAGGAACACCGGUGGCGAAGGCGGCUACCUGGACCGGUUCUGACGCUGAUGCGCGAAAGCGUGGGUAGCAAACAGG